This 429-nucleotide ribosomal RNA is filed under the name bacterium. RNAcentral describes it as "partial 16S ribosomal RNA". It matches the Rfam family "Bacterial small subunit ribosomal RNA", at positions 355 to 776 of the family's 1533-position model. The record is from RNAcentral.
UGGGGAAUAUUGGACAAUGGGCGCAAGCCUGAUCCAGCCAUACCGCGUGGGUGAAGAAGGCCUUCGGGUUGUAAAGCCCUUUUGUUGGGAAAGAAAAGCAGCUGGUUAAUACCCGGUUGUUCUGACGGUACCCAAAGAAUAAGCACCGGCUAACUUCGUGCCAGCAGCCGCGGUAAUACGAAGGGUGCAAGCGUUACCCGGAAUUACUGGGCGUAAAGCGUGCGUAGGUGGUUGUUUAAGUCUGUACUGAAAGCCCUGGGCUCAACCUGGGAAUUGCGAUGGAAACUGGGAGACUAGAGUGUGGCAGAGGAUAGUGGAAUUCCUGGUGUAGCAGUGAAAUGCGUAGAGAUCAGGAGGAACAUCCGUGGCGAAGGCGACUGUCUGGGCCAACACUGACACUGAGGCACGAAAGCGUGGGGAGCAAACAGG